Molecule: ribosomal RNA, 435 nt
Filed under: uncultured bacterium
Lineage: Bacteria
Description: partial 16S ribosomal RNA
Rfam family: Bacterial small subunit ribosomal RNA
Source: RNAcentral
AGCGAACGCUGGCGGCAGGCUUAACACAUGCAAGUCGAGCGGGCACUUUCGGGUGUCAGCGGCGGACGGGUGAGUAACGCGUGGGAACGUGCCCUCUGGUUCGGAAUAACUCAGGGAAACUUGAGCUAAUACCGGAUACGCCCUUUUGGGGAAAGGCUUGCUGCCGGAGGAUCGGCCCGCGUCGGAUUUGCUAGUUGGUGAGGUAACGGCUCACCAAGGCGACGAUCAGUAGCUGGUCUGAGAGGAUGAUCAGCCACACUGGGACUGAGACACGGCCCAGACUCCUACGGGAGGCAGCAGUGGGGAAUAUUGGACAAUGGGCGCAAGCCUGAUCCCGCCAUGCCGCGUGAGUGAUCAAGGCCUUAGGGUUGUAAAGCUCUUUUAUCCGGGACGAUAAUGACGGUACCGGAGGAAUAAGCCCCGGCUAACUUCGUG